RNAcentral lists this ribosomal RNA (765 nucleotides) under uncultured bacterium. RNAcentral's name for it is "bacterial SSU rRNA". It matches the Rfam family "Bacterial small subunit ribosomal RNA", at positions 28 to 808 of the family's 1533-position model. The record is from RNAcentral.
GAUGAACGCUGGCGGCGCGCCUAACACAUGCAAGUCGAACGAGUAAGACGCCUUCGGGCGUGGAUAGAGUGGCGAACGGGUGAGUAACACGUGACCAACCUGCCCCCUCCUCCGGGACAACCUCGGGAAACCGAGGCUAAUACCGGAUACUCCGGGCCCCCCGCAUGGGGGGCCCGGGAAAGCCCUGGCGGGAGGGGAUGGGGUCGCGGCCCAUCAGGUAGACGGCGGGGUAACGGCCCACCGUGCCUGCAACGGGUAGCCGGGCUGAGAGGCCGAUCGGCCACAUUGGGACUGAGACACGGCCCAGACUCCUACGGGAGGCAGCAGUGGGGAAUUUUGCGCAAUGGGGGCAACCCUGACGCAGCGACGCCGCGUGCGGGACGAAGUCAUUCGUGACGUAAACCGCUUUCAGCGAGGAAGAACCAUGACGGUACUCGCAGAAGAAGCCCCGGCUAACUACGUGCCAGCAGCCGCGGUAAUACGUAGGGGGCGAGCGUUAUCCGGAAUCAUUGGGCGUAAAGCGCGCGCAGGCGGGCUUUCAAGCGGCGGCGUCGAAGCCGGGGGCUCAACCCCCGGAAGCGCCCCGAACUGGAAGCCUCGGAUGCGGCAGGGGGAGGCGGAAUUCCCGGUGUAGCGGUGAAAUGCGCAGAUAUCGGGAAGAACACCGACGGCGAAGGCAGCCUCCUGGGCCGGCAUCGACGCUGAGGCGCGAAAGCCGAGGGGAGCGAACAGGAUUAGAUACCCUGGUAGUCCCAGCCGUAAACG